CCGCAUGGUGGCGCAGUUGGUAGCAGUGUUGCUUGAAGGUCCUGGGUUCGACUCCCAGCCGGGGGU
Non-coding RNA from Ataeniobius toweri, 66 nucleotides. NCBI's taxonomy places the organism in Eukaryota, Metazoa, Chordata, Actinopteri, Cyprinodontiformes, Goodeidae. The record is from the annotation of a GenBank genome assembly.